GCCAGACUCCUACGGGAGGCAGCAGUGAGGAAUAUUGGUCAAUGGACGAGAGUCUGAACCAGCCAAGUAGCGUGAAGGAUGACUGCCCUAUGGGUUGUAAACUUCUUUUAUAAAGGAAUAAAACGAGGCACGUGUGCCUUUUUGCAUGUACUUUAUGAAUAAGCAUCGGCUAACUCCGUGCCAGCAGCCGCGGUAAUACGGAGGAUGCGAGCGUUAUCCGGAUUUAUUGGGUUUAAAGGGUGCGCAGGCGGCCUGUUAAGUCAGGGGUAAAGCCCCGGGGCUCACCCCGGGCGAGCCGUUGAAACUGGCGGGCUGGAGUUGGAGAGAAGUACGCGGAAUGCGCGGUGUAGCGGUGAAAUGCUUAGAUAUCGCGCAGAACCCCGAUUGCGAAGGCAGCGUACCGGCUCCACACUGACGCUGAGGCACGAAAGCGUGGGUAUCGAACAGGAUUAGAUACCCUCGUAAG
This 466-nucleotide ribosomal RNA is filed under the name uncultured bacterium. RNAcentral's name for it is "bacterial SSU rRNA". It matches the Rfam family "Bacterial small subunit ribosomal RNA", at positions 330 to 794 of the family's 1533-position model. The record is from RNAcentral.